CGCAAGAAGAGCAGGGGAAAGAGAAACCCUUCUCCUUUAACCUAACUCAAGAAUCACUUCAAUUAAGGGUGUUAUCAAGAAAGAAUCGGAAGCAUGGGUCCAAGAAAUCUCUAAUCUAAGCAUAUUGAACAUAAGGAUCAUGUUAAGAUGGGAGAAACAUGGAAGGCUACGUAAAGGAUAUGAGGAAGCAUGCACGAGACGGGCACUCGAGGUACUAAUUAGAAGUAAUAAACGAAGGAAGCCAAGGCUUACGCAGCCCGCGAGGGACCGUGCUGCAGGCAGUUUGUUGGAUUUUAGUUGUUUUAUACAUUGGACUUGUUUAAAUGGUGUUCCAAGGUCACAUAACUUAUGUUAAGGAUUGGUUUUGAAUAUAAGAGAUGUUAAGGGUCGUCGGUUAGUGAAAGAAUGGAUUUGUUUUCGUUUAGUGUAAGAAAUUGUAUAAGUAAAUAUGUUUAGGAAUCUAGUAGGCACGUAGGUCGUUUUGUAUAUUGCCUAUAUUAUGUUAAGUUGUGAAUAUGCCAUUUCGGCGUAAGCGUAUGUGUAUGAAGUGGUAAGUAUGAGCUAGUGCAUAUAAAUUCGUAAAUGAUUGUUUGUGUGUAGGUAGGGACGUAGACAUGCAUGAAGGUACGUUUGCAUAUAGGUGUAUGUGAUAAUAGGCGCGUAAGUGUGAAUGCAUGUGUGUAUGAAUAUACGAUGCUAAAGAUAUACGUAUGAACGUUAUCAAGGCGUCGGAGUACUUACGAUUACUCAUGAUGUGCUUUGAGUUUGGAAUGUAAUGCAAGCAUGA
This is a long non-coding RNA of Helianthus annuus (common sunflower), 787 nucleotides long. RefSeq lists it as uncharacterized. Lineage: Eukaryota; Viridiplantae; Streptophyta; Magnoliopsida; Asterales; Asteraceae. The record is from RefSeq and is a predicted model, not a curated record. The transcript has 3 exons.